This 804-nucleotide long non-coding RNA is filed under the name Numida meleagris (helmeted guineafowl). RNAcentral describes it as "lncRNA (ENSNMEG00000014034.1)". Lineage: Eukaryota; Metazoa; Chordata; Aves; Galliformes; Numididae. The record is from RNAcentral.
CUGUUCACACAUGGGGACAUAUGGAUGAUAGCGAGCAAUGGAGCUGCUUGCUGAGAGAGUGGGUCAAGCACAAAGUUGUGAUUGGUAGUAAGUGAUCAUUUGGACACCUUUGCAUUAAUGUAUUUGUGUUCCUUUUGCUGCAGAUAGAAAGAGAAAUGGAUACGUUCUGCAUUGUUUUCUCAUUUUCUAGUGAUUAAAAUGUGCUGUUGACGCCAGUUCCAAUUGACCUUUCUGCACUCAGAGCAUGGCAGCCUGGUUGCUGUGCUCCAGCCUAUUCAGAACCUAUUAGAGGAAAUCUUUCUUAUUGACUCCAUCAGCAUGUGAGCUUCACGCAGCGCUGUGCCGAGCGGAGCAACCUGCUGCAGUGAUUUGCGUCCGUGAGCUGGUGGGACCAAGUGUGGCUCUUUGGUGAAGGGGAAGGAAUGAUCAAGGAGAGGGGUGUGGGAAGGGAAUAGGCUUCAGAAUAAAUUAUUUCCUUCAUUUAUUUGGAAACCAACAAAUGAAACCGGCCGUAGGAUAUGGGCAAGAAACUAUUUUCUUGCAUCUCCUAAACAAAUGAACAAAACACUGCUAAACUUUCAAAAGAGCUCUUCCUCUGGAAGAUAUCUAAAGAGAUGUCCAGAAGUAAAGGAGCAUUGAAAAUCACGAAAGGUUGGUCAUUUGUCAUAGCUGUUUACAUGUCAAAAAGCACAUCUGAAGUCCCCAAAGUGCACCGAAUAACCACAUGUAGUCAAAGUAUCUUUGAAAAUGUGAUAUAUGCUGCUAAGAUAUCUCCAGAUUAUGACAACAGAUAUAGUACAGAGA